Molecule: transfer RNA, 74 nt
Filed under: Pseudolabrus eoethinus
Lineage: Eukaryota; Metazoa; Chordata; Actinopteri; Labriformes; Labridae
Description: tRNA-Thr
Rfam family: tRNA
About the family: Transfer RNA (tRNA) molecules are approximately 80 nucleotides in length. Their secondary structure includes four short double-helical elements and three loops (D, anti-codon, and T loops).
Source: RNAcentral
AGCACUAGUAGCUCAACGUCCAAAGCACCGGUCUUGUAAACCGGCAGAUGAAGGUUUAAAUCCUUCCUAUUGCU